AUCAUCAGAUGGAAAUGAAUGGAAUCGUCAUAGAAUGGAAUCGAAUGGAUUCAUUGAAUGGAAUCAGAUGGAAUCUUCGAAUGGACUGGAAUGGAAUCAUUGAAUGGACUCGAAAGGGAUCAUUAUUGAAUGGAAUUGAAUGGAAUCAUCGAAUGGUCUCGAUUGGAAUCAUUAUCAAAUGGAAUCGAAUGGAAUCACCGAAUAGAAUCGAAUGGAACAAUCAUCGAAUGGACUCAAAUGAAAUUAUCCUCAAGUGGAAUCGAAUGGAAUUAUCGAAUGCAAUCGAAUGGAAUUAUCGAAUGCAAUCGAAUAGAAUCAUCGAAUGGACUCGAAUGGAAUCAUCGAAUGGAAUGGAAUGGAACAGUCAAUGAACUCGAAUGGAAUCAUCAUUGAAUGGAAUCGAAUGGAAUCAUCGAGUGGAAUCGAAUGGAAUUAUGAUCAAAUGGAAUCGAAUGUAAUCAUCAUCAAAUGGAAUCAAAAAUAACCAUCAUCAAUUGGUAUUCAAUGGAAUUGUCAUCAAAUGGAAUUCAAAGGAAUCAUCAUCAAAUGGAACUGAAUGGAAUCCUCAUUGAAUGGAAAUGAAAGGGGUCAUCAUCUAAUGGAAUCGCAUGGAAUUAUCAUCGAAUGGAAUCGAAUGGAAUCAACAUCCAACGGAAAAAAACGGAAUUAUCGAAUGGAAUCGAAGAGAAUCAUCGAACGGACCCGAAUGGAAUCAUCUAAUGGAAUGGAAUGGAAUAAUCCAUGGACUCGAAUGCAAUCAUCAUCGAAUGGAAUCGAAUGGAAUCAUCGAAUGGACUCGAAAGGAAUCAUCAUUGAACGGAAUCGAAUGGAAU
RNAcentral lists this long non-coding RNA (833 nucleotides) under Homo sapiens (human). RNAcentral describes it as "HSALNT0295137". Lineage: Eukaryota; Metazoa; Chordata; Mammalia; Primates; Hominidae. The record is from RNAcentral.